This 680-nucleotide ribosomal RNA is filed under the name uncultured bacterium. Its description in RNAcentral is "bacterial SSU rRNA". It matches the Rfam family "Bacterial small subunit ribosomal RNA", at positions 35 to 737 of the family's 1533-position model. The record is from RNAcentral.
GUCGACGGAGUUCUUGAGGAAUGCGGCUUCGGCCAAAUGACUUUUGAACUUAGUGGCGGACGGGUGAGUAACGCGUGAGCAACCUGCCUUUCAGAGGGGGAUAACAUUUGGAAACAGAUGCUAAUACCGCAUAAGAUUACAGUACCGCAUGAUACAGUGAUCAAAGGAGCAAUCCGCUGAAAGAUGGGCUCGCGUCCGAUUAGAUAGUUGGUGAGGUAACGGCUCACCAAGUCGACGAUCGGUAGCCGGACUGAGAGGUUGAACGGCCACAUUGGGACUGAGACACGGCCCAGACUCCUACGGGAGGCAGCAGUGGGGAAUAUUGCACAAUGGGCGAAAGCCUGAUGCAGCAACGCCGCGUGAGGGAAGACGGUUUUCGGAUUGUAAACCUCUGUUUUCGGUGACGAAUAAAUGACGGUAACCGAGUAGGAAGCCACGGCUAACUACGUGCCAGCAGCCGCGGUAAUACGUAGGUGGCAAGCGUUAUCCGGAAUUACUGGGUGUAAAGGGAGCGCAGGCGGGAUAGCAAGUCAGCUGUGAAAACUAUGGGCUCAACCCAUAAACUGCAGUUGAAACUGUUAUUCUUGAGUGGAGUAGAGGCAAGCGGAACUCCGAGUGUAGCGGUGAAAUGCGUAGAUAUUCGGAGGAACACCAGUGGCGAAGGCGGCUUGCUGGGCUCU